GUGAAUCAUCGAAUCUUUGAACGCAAAUUGCACUCCCUGGUAUUCCGGGGAGUAUGCCUGUUUGAGGGUCGUUAGAACAAAAAUCGACGCGGCGCCCUUUUUUUUAAGGGUGAUCGCGUCGGAAUUGAAACGUCUUUCAAAUUAUAAUUCAUAUAAAAGUGGCUUGAAAUUCAUCCAUCCUGUAAG
This 186-nucleotide unclassified non-coding RNA is filed under the name Funneliformis mosseae. Its description in RNAcentral is "partial contains 5.8S ribosomal RNA and internal transcribed spacer 2". The stretch from base 1 to 71 matches the Rfam family "5.8S ribosomal RNA", at positions 84 to 154 of the family's 154-position model. The record is from RNAcentral. Lineage: Eukaryota; Fungi; Glomeromycota; Glomeromycetes; Glomerales; Glomeraceae.